Long non-coding RNA from Mytilus trossulus (common blue mussel), 211 nucleotides. RefSeq lists it as uncharacterized. The record is from RefSeq and is a predicted model, not a curated record. NCBI's taxonomy places the organism in Eukaryota, Metazoa, Mollusca, Bivalvia, Mytilida, Mytilidae. The transcript has 2 exons.
CUUCAAUCCUGUAGAGGUUCGGUUUAAAUAGGUUUCACUGUAUAUAUAUAUAUAUAUUUAGGAGAGAAGUACGUUGUACAUGUAAUGGCAACACAAUCUAGUGUGAAUGUAGCUCAAUCAGCUUUCGUUUGUCAAUUAUGUGACCAUAACAAAGUUGAGUGGAAAUGCGAGGAGUGUGGAAUCUACCUAUGCAGUACGUGUAAAGAUAAAA